AACGAACGCUGGCGGCAUGCCUAACACAUGCAAGUCGAACGAGACCUUCGGGUCUAGUGGCGCUCGGGUGCGUAACGCGUGGGAACCUGCCCUUAGGUUCGGAAUAACUCCCCGAAAGGGGUGCUAAUACCGGAUAAUGUCUUCGGACCAAAGAUUUAUCGCCUUUGGAUGGGCCCGCGUUGGAUUAGCUAGUUGGUAGGGUAAAAGCCUACCAAGGCGACGAUCCAUAGCUGGUCUGAGAGGAUGAUCAGCCACACUGGGACUGAGACACGGCCCAGACUCCUACGGGAGGCAGCAGUGGGGAAUAUUGGACAAUAGGCGAAAGCCUGAUCCAGCAAUGCCGCGUGAGUGAUGAAGGCCUUAGGGUUGUAAAGCUCUUUUACCCGGGAUGAUAAUGACAGUACCGGGAGAAUAAGCUCCGGCUAACUCCGUG
Molecule: ribosomal RNA, 433 nt
Filed under: uncultured bacterium
Lineage: Bacteria
Description: partial 16S ribosomal RNA
Rfam family: Bacterial small subunit ribosomal RNA
Source: RNAcentral